GAUGAACGCUGGCGGUAUGCUUAACACAUGCAAGUCGAACGGACACUUCGGAGUUAGGGGCGGCCGGGGGAGUAAGGCGUGGGAAUAUGGACUUGGGUUCGGGACAACCACUGGAAACGGUGGACAAUACGGGACGUGCCGUGAGGUAGAAGAGCAAUUGCCUGAAGAUGGGCUCGCGUCUGAUUAGCUAGUUGGUGAGGUAAAGGCUCACCAAGGCAGCGAUCAGUAGCUGGUCUGAGAGGACGACCGGCCAAACCGGGAAUGGGAAGCGGCCCAGACAACUACGGGAGGCAGCAGUGGAGAAUUACCCGGAAUCGGCGCGUGCCUGACGAAGCACUACCGAGUGAAGGACGAAGGUUCUUGGGUUGUAAACCUCUUUUCGUAGGGAAGAACGACAUGACGGUACCUAAGGAAUCAGCAUCGGCUAACUCCGUG
This 435-nucleotide ribosomal RNA is filed under the name uncultured bacterium. RNAcentral describes it as "partial 16S ribosomal RNA". It matches the Rfam family "Bacterial small subunit ribosomal RNA", at positions 28 to 507 of the family's 1533-position model. The record is from RNAcentral.